Molecule: ribosomal RNA, 253 nt
Filed under: uncultured bacterium
Lineage: Bacteria
Description: partial 16S ribosomal RNA
Rfam family: Bacterial small subunit ribosomal RNA
Source: RNAcentral
UACGUAGGUGGCAAGCGUUGUCCGGAUUUAUUGGGUUUAAAGGGUGCGUAGGUGGCCCUGUAAGUCAGUGGUGAAAUAUCUCAGCUUAACUGAGAGGGUGCCAUUGAUACUGCAGGGCUUGAGUACAGAUGAGGUAGGCGGAAUUGACGGUGUAGCGGUGAAAUGCAUAGAUAUCGUCAAGAACACCGAUAGCGAAGGCAGCUUAGCAGGCUGUAACUGACACUGAGGCACGAAAGUGUGGGGAUCAAACAGG